AUUGAACGCUGGCGGCAGGCCUAACACAUGCAAGUCGAGCGACGGGCGGCUGGGUGAGUAAUGGAAGGGUAUCCGCCAGAUAGUGGGGGAUAACUAAUGGCCACGGUGGCUAAGAACGCACAUUGACGGGUCGACCUAUAUUGGAAUAGCUGGUAGGUAAGGUAAUGGCUUACCUAGGCGACGAUCCCUAGCUUGUCUGAGCGGAUGAUCAGCCACACUGGGACUGAGACACGGCCCAGACACCUACGGGAGGCAGCAAUGGGGAAUAUUGCACAAUUGGCGCAAGCCUGAUGCAGCCAAGCCGCGUGUAUGGAGAAGGCCCUAGGGUUGUAAAAUACUUUCAGUCGGGAAGCGUUUCCGACAGAAGAAGCACCGGCUAACUCCGUGCCAACGGCCGCGGUAAUAC
This 406-nucleotide ribosomal RNA is filed under the name uncultured bacterium. Its description in RNAcentral is "partial 16S ribosomal RNA". It matches the Rfam family "Bacterial small subunit ribosomal RNA", at positions 30 to 526 of the family's 1533-position model. The record is from RNAcentral.